This 3467-nucleotide long non-coding RNA is filed under the name Homo sapiens (human). Its description in RNAcentral is "HSALNT0324483". Lineage: Eukaryota; Metazoa; Chordata; Mammalia; Primates; Hominidae. The record is from RNAcentral.
GCCACCGGGCCUGCCCUGGACCAACGUUCUUCUAACAGGACGAAUAUGCUUAACUCGUAUGAAACUGGACUGCAGUCUGCUCUAAAGGUGUGCCUCCUUCUUUGGCGAAUUUAUAAGGAAGUCCCCACAGCCCUCAGGACAGAGACUGAACAAGGGAUGUGACUGCUGUGAAUACUCCCAGCCAAAGGCCAUCAGGACACCCGGAGUUGAACAAGGGGUUAGAAAUUGCCCUGAAGGAAGAGGUGGACAACUCUGCCAGACACUGGGAAGAUCAGUGCGGAACACACGGCCAGGAUCCAGCCAGUCAGAACUGACUCCCCCAUCAAUCACAUCUUUGCAGAAAAAUCUACACCAGAGCUUGCUAGAUUCCUAGUAACUCAUGAUGGUGUUAACUGUUGGGGUCUGUACUACGUUUAUCAGCUGUAACAGUCACUGCUAAGGUUUGCAGUUUCCUUUCUGUUGCCAGCGGGAUCACGAGUCCACCGGGAGAAAUGAACAACUCCAGACGCGUGGUCUUAAGAGCUGUACCACUCACCAUGAAGCUCUGUGGCUUCACUUCUGAAUCCAGGGAGGCCACGAACCCACCAGAAGGUAGAAACUGUGAACCCGUUCAAACAUCAGAAGGAACGAACUGGACACGUUGUUCUUAAGAAGUGUAACACUGAUCGUGAGGGUCUGUGGUUUCAUUCAUGAAGUCAGUGAGACGAGGAACCCACCAAUUACAGACACAGUAUGAUGAACCAAAAACCCCAACACUUCCCUGCCAUAAAACAGGAAUCAAAUGAGGCCAGUAACAAAGACAGUUUGAGUCCAGGGCACUGAGUGAAGGCACUAGAUAUGCUGGGACUCAUCAUUGCUUUGGAACAGGGACAGGAUCUGGGUACGAAGUUUCUACCGCUCUUGUGGUGGGGAGUUGGGUUGGGCAUCACUUUCAUACGGCGAGAGGAAACGGUGGUGUCAUCUAUGUUAGCACUGGCUGCAGUGGAGCUUAAAAAACAUGUUGCAAGCUCUCACAUGGGUUCAAGUCUGAAUUUCCACUGCUACGUGGUCUGAAAACUGCAAGCAGGAAUUUACAUUUAAAGCACAUGGAGUCUAUAGUAUCCCCAGGUACUUCAGAGAAGCAAAUAUCAAUACUCCCUCGAGGAGUAAGUCUUCAAACAAGGCUUCCAAGCACCCCACAGGGUUAGUGGCACCAACUUUUAACUACUGUAACUAAUAAGGAGAAGCCAAGGGUACAUAUGAAGAAGUUGUUUAUGAGCAUUUGCCAACAAAAAAAGACCUGCAAAGACGUCAGAUACUGUAAGAACAGAAUACAGAAUAUAAAAUGGGUAUUCUUAAUAUGUUUCAAUGAGUAAAGGCAGAAAUAAGGUGAAGAGUCAGGAUGAAGGGAUCACCGAAGAUGAGCAGACAAAUUUGGGCAAAACUAGAAAUGUAAACUAUAAUAAUUGAAGUAAAAAGAAAACUCAAUGGAAGGGUUAAAAAAUUGCUGGAGAUGAGAGAACAAUUAGUAAACUCAGUUAUUCAAAAAUUAUACUAUUACACAAAGAGAUCAAUACAUUAAAAAUAGAAAAGUUUAAGAGACAAGUAGAAAAUCCACCGUACAUAUAAUCAGAAUUUGAGAGGCAGAUUGUUGAAAAAAAAUGCAAGGAAUAAAUUUUUUUUUUUUUUUUUUUUUUUGAGAUGGUCUCACCCUGCUGCCCAGGCUGGAGUGCAGUGGUGUGAUCUCGGCUCACUGCAAGCUGUGCCUCCCAGGUUCAAGCGGUUCUCCUGCCUCAGCCUCCUGAGUAGCUAGGAUUACAGGCACACGCCACCACGCCCAGCUAAUUUUUGUAUUUUUAGUAGAGACAGGGUUUCACCAUAUUGUCCAGGCUGGGCUCGAUCUCCUGCCUCGGCAUCCCAAAGUGCUGGGAUUACAGGCGGGAGCCACUGCACCUGGCCAAAAUAUUUCAAGAAGUAAUGACCAGUGUUUCUGGAAUGAAUGAAAGACCCAAAUCCAUCGUGUGUCUUUCAUUCCAUUUGAUUUCUCAUUUGGUUUUUCUUUUUGCAGCUGGGAAGUUUCAGGGUUAUUGGCUCAUCAUAGUACCAAAUCAUGACAGAUCCAAAGAAAGACAAAUAAAAGCCAGUCAAUAUUAGGACAUAUUAACAGUGCAACAGCAGAACAACAUAAACAAUAAGGGAUCGUGAAAGAAGAGACACUUUGCCACCGGGCGUGGUAAAUAAGCAUAUGUAAAGAUGAUGUCAACAUCUUGUAUCACCAAGUAUUACAAAUUUUUAAAAAAGGAAAUAGCACUACACACCUAUUAAAAAGGGGAGCAGGCAGGGUGUGGUGGCUCAUGCCUGUAGUCCUAGCACUUUGGGAGGCCGAGGCCGGCAGGUCACUUGAGGUCAGGAGUUUGAGACCAGCCUGCCCAACAUGGAGAAACCCCGUCUCUACUAAAAAUACAAAAGUAUUCGGGCGUGGUGGCAGGCACCUGUAAUACCAGCUACCUGAGAGGCUGAGUCAGGAGAAUCGCUUGAACCCGGGAGGCGGAGGUUGUGGUGAGCUGAGAUUGCGCCACUGCACUGCAGCCUGGGCAACAAGAGCCAAACUCCGUCUCAAAAAAAAAAAAAAAAAAAAAAAAAAAGGGUGAGCAUCCCAAACACCAAUGCUGGCAAGAAUGUGUAGCAAUAGGAACUCUGAUUCAUUGUGCUGGGAGUGGAUGUACUCAUAAAAUGGUACUGAUACCAUGGAGGGCAGUUCGGUGGUUUCCUAUAAAACUAAACAUUCUUUUACUACAUAGUCCGGCCAUUAUGCUCCUUGGUAUUUACCCAAAUGAACACAUCAAUGUUUAUAGUAGCCUUAUUUGUAAUUGCCAAAGCUUAGAAGCAACUAAGAUGUUGUUCCUUAGGUUAAAAAAGAAAAGAAACUGUGGCACCUCCAGACAAUAGGAUAUUAUUUAGUGCUAAAAAUAAAUAAGCUACCAAGUGACAACACCACAUGGAGGAAUGUUAACUGCGUAUAAAUGACAGAAACAAAAACCAAUCCGAAAAGGUGAUGCACUGCAUGAUUCCAGUCAUGUGAUGCUUCGGAAAAGGCAAAACUAUGGAAAUGGUAAAAAGGUCAGUGGUUGCCAGAGGUUAAGGAUAAAGAGAGAUGAUUAGGUGGAGAACAGAAGAUUUUUAGGAUAGUGAAACCAUUUUGUCUGAUAAUAUAAUGGUGGAUAUGUGUGAUUAUACAUUUGUUAAAAACCAUGGAAUGUACAACCCUAAGAGAGAACCCUAAUAUAAACCAUGAAAUUUGAAUAAUAAUGAUGUAUCAUUGCAGGUCUGUAGAUUUGUCAAAUAUGCACCACUGUCGUGGGGGAUGGUAGUAGUGGGGUAGGUUGUGUGUGUAUAGGGACCAAGGGUAUAUGAGAACUCUCUGUACUUUCUGAUCAAUUUUGAUGUGAAGCUAAAACUGGUCUAAAAAAUAAAGUUUAUUAAAUUAC